GUCGCGCGCGAAAGUCUUCGGAUGAGUAGAGCGGCGCACGGGUGAGUAACACGUGGGUAAUCUGCCCUUAGGUCUGGGAUAACUCGGCGAAAGCCGUGCUAAUACCGGAUAGUGCCAACAUAUGAAAAUACGUUGGAUAAAGCGGAGGCUUUCUUCGGAAACUUCGUGCCUUUGGAUGAGCCCGCGGCCCAUCAGCUUGUUGGCGGGGUAAUGGCCCACCAAGGCUAAGACGGGUAGCUGGUCUGAGAGGAUGAUCAGCCACACUGGAACUAAGACACGGUCCAGACUCCUACGGGAGGCAGCAGUGGGGAAUCUUGCGCAAUGGGCGAAAGCCUGACGCAGCAACGCCGCGUGUGUGAUG
Molecule: ribosomal RNA, 361 nt
Filed under: uncultured soil bacterium
Lineage: Bacteria
Description: bacterial SSU rRNA
Rfam family: Bacterial small subunit ribosomal RNA
Source: RNAcentral